CGUGAGGCCGACAACGGCAAGCCCUAUCACCACCACCACCACCACCACUCGCGUGUGCGGAGAACACUUUCAGAAAGGCGAACCAUCGGCUGUACCGUCCGACCCUGACUACGUGCCAAAUGUGUUCGGAGUUCCCCAAACAUCGUCCUGCGACUUGGAAAAUCGUGCCGAAAAUGACGGCACGGGAGGAGCUCUGGCGAGAAACGCCCCUGCAAAGCACAUGGAAGGGCGCGAAAGACAGCCGUUCCGCCAUGGUGAGCCCCCCUC
Molecule: long non-coding RNA, 267 nt
Organism: Ornithodoros turicata
Lineage: Eukaryota; Metazoa; Arthropoda; Arachnida; Ixodida; Argasidae
Exons: 3
Source: RefSeq, a predicted model, not a curated record